Molecule: ribosomal RNA, 1295 nt
Filed under: uncultured bacterium
Lineage: Bacteria
Description: bacterial SSU rRNA
Rfam family: Bacterial small subunit ribosomal RNA
Source: RNAcentral
GGUGAACGCUGGCGGCGUGGAUGAGGCAUGCAAGUCAAGGGGCCGCAAGGCACCGGCAGACGAGGUAGUACAACAUAGGAAUUCACCGAGAAGUCUGGCAUAGCUCGUCGAAAGACGGGGUAAUUCCAGAUAGUCCCUCCGGGGUAAAGGCGCAAGCCGCUUCUUGAGAAGCCUGUGCAGCAUCAGCUAGUUGGUAAGGUAAAGGCUUACCAAGGCUGUGACGCUUAGGGGACCUGAGAGGGUGACCCCCACCGAUGGAACUGAGAUACGGUCCAUACACCUACGGGUGGCUGCAGCCGAGAAUAUUCGACAAUGGACGAAAGUCUGAUCGAGCGACGCCGCGUGAUUGAUGAAGUCCUUCGGGACGUAAAGAUCUUUUAUGGGUGAGAAAGUUAUUGAUGUUAGCCCAUGAAUAAGAGGCUCCUAACUCUGUGCCAGCAGGAGCGGUAAUACAGAGGCCUCAAGCGUUACCCGGAAUCACUGGGCGUAAAGGGUGUGUAGGCGGUUAUGUUAGUCUUUCGUGAAAGAUCUUGGGCUUAACCCAGGAGACGCGGAGGAAACGGCAUGACUUAGAGGAUGUGAGGGGUAAAGGGAACUCAUGGUGUAGGGGUGAAAUCCGUUGAUAUCAUGGGAACACCAAAUGCGAAGGCACUUUACUGGCACACUCCUGACGCUGAAACACGAAAGCGUGGGAAUCGAACGGGAUUAGAUACCCCGGUAGUCCACGCCCUAAACGAUCCGAACUGGCUAUAAGGAGUAUCGACCCUCUUUGUGGCGAAGCUAACGCGUUAAGUUCGGCGCCUGGGUAGUACGAUCGCAAGAUUAAAACUCAAAGGAAUAGACGGGGACUUGCACAAGCGGUGGAUCAUGCGGCUCAAUUCGAUGACAAACGAAGAACCUCACCAGGGUUUGAAACCCAGACGAAAUCCUUAGGAAACUUUGGACCUCGCAAGACGGCUGGGCAGGUGAUGCAUGGUCGUCGUCAGUUCGUGGCUUGAGUUGUUCCCUUCAGUGGGGUAACGAACGCAACCCGCGUUGCCUGUUUUCUAUGUCAGGCGAGACUGCCCCCUCACGGGGGAGGAAGGUGCGGAUGACGCCAGAUCAGCAUGUCCCUCUAAUAUCCUGGGCUGCACGCAUGAUACAAUGCACUCAACAACGAGACGCAAUAGGGUAACCUGGAGCAAAUCUUUAAAUGAGUGCUCAAUUCGGAUUAAGGUCUGCAAUUCGACCUUAUGAAGCCGGAAUCGCUAGUAAUCGCGGGUCAGCUAUACCGCGGUGAAUACGUUCUCAAGUCU